UGAAAAGCAUUGAUCAAGAGGAGUAGUUUUAGAUACUAAUUUUAAGAGAAAAGAACAAAUGCUGAGAGUUCUUUAUUAGUCUAAAAUGAAUGUAGCUUAGGAGCUGAUAGAGGGAAGUUAGAGUAACUCUAUCCGGAGGUAGCGAUCCGUUAACAGCGUUUAGAGUGGUGUGUUGUUUUCAACAUGCAAAAUAGGUGGUACCGCGAAUUCAAAGCAUUCGUCCUAAUU
This is a regulatory RNA element of Carnobacterium maltaromaticum LMA28, 228 nucleotides long. It matches the Rfam family "T-box leader". Rfam says of the family: Uncharged tRNA acts as the effector for transcription antitermination of genes in the T-box leader family. T-boxes are found upstream of many aminoacyl-tRNA synthetase genes and some amino acid biosynthetic genes usually in Gram-positive bacteria. Lineage: Bacteria; Bacillati; Bacillota; Bacilli; Lactobacillales; Carnobacteriaceae. The record is from Rfam.